GCAUGGCCGAAUUCUGUUCCAUCCGGUCAGUGGUGGAUACAGUCAGACACCAUGCAAAAGUCUCGUCUCAUUUCUGCUAAAUGACAGGAGGAGUGCUGCUCUGAGCCUCCUCCAGCUGUGCAGGAAUGAGUACAAUG
Molecule: small nucleolar RNA, 137 nt
Organism: Seriola dumerili (greater amberjack)
Lineage: Eukaryota; Metazoa; Chordata; Actinopteri; Carangiformes; Carangidae
Source: Ensembl